CAUAAAAGCAAUCCUCGUAUGUCUUAGAAACAGGAGAGUCUCAACAAGUGUGUUGGUUUGUGCAUCUACACAUACCUAUAUAUUUUACUAUAUAAAUAUAUCAUCAAAUAUUAAAGCCAAGAGCGGCGCAAGGCGAUGGAAUGGUGGCGGAGAGUUUGGUGCGCUGUUUCUUCUCGUCUCAGACCUCAUAAAACUGGCAGAGGACUUGUGAAACUCCACGACGACAUUCAAACAUGUGGAUACGAGGAUGUACAGAUUAUGUGGGAAAUGUUGAGGGCGACGGAAUUAAAACAUAGUAGUAAGAAAAAAGGUGGGCGGUUUUGUACAAACAAAGUCUCUAUCUAAAUAUAUAUGAGGAUAUUAGUUAUGUUAAUGUUAAUAUGAAGGAUUGGCAAUUUGGCAAUUUGGCAAUUA
Molecule: non-coding RNA, 414 nt
Organism: Salvia hispanica
Lineage: Eukaryota; Viridiplantae; Streptophyta; Magnoliopsida; Lamiales; Lamiaceae
Source: RefSeq, a predicted model, not a curated record